RNAcentral lists this ribosomal RNA (504 nucleotides) under uncultured bacterium. RNAcentral describes it as "partial 16S ribosomal RNA". It matches the Rfam family "Bacterial small subunit ribosomal RNA", at positions 30 to 523 of the family's 1533-position model. The record is from RNAcentral.
AUUGAACGCUGGCGGCAGGCCUAACACAUGCAAGUCGAACGGUAGCACAGAGAGCUUGCUCUCGGGUGACGAGUGGCGGACGGGUGAGUAAUGUCUGGGAAACUGCCCGAUGGAGGGGGAUAACUACUGGAAACGGUAGCUAAUACCGCAUAACGUCGCAAGACCAAAGUGGGGGACCUUCGGGCCUCACACCAUCGGAUGUGCCCAGAUGGGAUUAGCUAGUAGGUGGGGUAAUGGCUCACCUAGGCGACGAUCCCUAGCUGGUCUGAGAGGAUGACCAGCCACACUGGAACUGAGACACGGUCCAGACUCCUACGGGAGGCAGCAGUGGGGAAUAUUGCACAAUGGGCGCAAGCCUGAUGCAGCCAUGCCGCGUGUAUGAAGAAGGCCAUCGGGUUGUAAAGUACUUUCAGCGGGGAGGAAGGCGGUGGAGUUAAUAACUUCAUCGAUUGACGUUACCCGCAGAAGAAGCACCGGCUAACUCCGUGCCAGCCGCCGCAGUAA